Molecule: ribosomal RNA, 350 nt
Filed under: uncultured Mesoplasma sp.
Lineage: Bacteria; Bacillati; Mycoplasmatota; Mollicutes; Entomoplasmatales; Entomoplasmataceae
Description: bacterial SSU rRNA
Rfam family: Bacterial small subunit ribosomal RNA
Source: RNAcentral
GUGCCAGCCGCUGCGGUAAUACAUAGGUGGCAAGCGUUAUCCGGAUUUAUUGGGCGUAUAGGGUGCGUAGGCGGUUUGCAAGUUUGUGGUCAAAUCCCGAGGCUCAACCUCGGUUCGCCAUGAAAACUGCAGGGGUUACUAGAAUACAAGAGAGGUAAACGAAUUCCAUGUGUAGCGGUGAAUGCGUAGAUAUAUGGAAGAACACCUGUGGCGAAAGCGGUUUACUGGCUUGUUAUUGACGCUGAGGCACGAAAGCGUGGGGAGCAAAUAGGAUUAGAUACCCUAGUAGUCCAGCCGUAAACGUUGAGUACUAAGUGUUUGGGAAUUUAUCGUCGGUGCUGCAGCUAACG